Long non-coding RNA from Musca vetustissima, 677 nucleotides. RefSeq lists it as uncharacterized. The record is from RefSeq and is a predicted model, not a curated record. The transcript has 3 exons. Lineage: Eukaryota; Metazoa; Arthropoda; Insecta; Diptera; Muscidae.
AAGUGGACGGAAGAAAGCAGCAACAUCAGAAGAAAUGGUUCGAAAAGUAAAGAAGCGACUUUAUCGAAACGCGCGUCGCAGUGGCCGAAAAAUGCUCGGUGAGCUGAACAUAUCGCAAAUAUUGAAAAAUGAGCUCGGGGUAAAGCCAUUGAAAUUCCAAAAGGUGCAAGAACUUACACCGCAGCAGAAAGAAAAUAGACUCAAAAGAGCUAAAGUGUAGCUUCGAUUGGCCGAAAGUGGUGAACUGCUGAAUUUGGUAUUCUCCGAUGAGAAAACAUUCGUUGUCCAGCAGUUUGUAAACAAACAAAAUUAUCGUGUUUACUUGCCAAAGAGGUCAGCUGAAAAUGGGCACUUUCGGUUGGCCACCAGAACACCAGCGCCGAGGGUGUAUUAAAGCCUUGAGCACGCAAACAUUUUCGCCGCAGACCUUGGACAUUCCAACAUGACUCAGCACAAUCGCACUCAGUACGCGCCACCCAAGAAUGGUUACAAAAUGAGGUUCUGCCUUCAUUUCCAAAAUCUCCGGAUACCAAUCCGUUGGACUAUUUUGUCUAGAGUAUUUUGGAAAGCAAGGUUGGCCCGUAAAAAUACCAAAGUGUUGAUCACCUCAAGCAAGCGCUUCGCCGGUAAUGGACCAAAAUACCGCAGAGAAACAUUUGCGCAGCGUGUGACGGUUG